RNAcentral lists this long non-coding RNA (1565 nucleotides) under Eutrema salsugineum. Its description in RNAcentral is "long non-coding RNA (ESAL_LNC000189)". Lineage: Eukaryota; Viridiplantae; Streptophyta; Magnoliopsida; Brassicales; Brassicaceae. The record is from RNAcentral.
UCCGAUUACAUCGUUCUUUACAUGAAAAAGGUAGACGAUUCCAAUAAAUAUUCUUUAACACUAAAAACCAGCUUUCGAAAAGGAACAGUUCCUGAAUUUUCACCUUGGCAACCUCUCUCUUUGUUUAUUAUAUCUACUAGAAAAAAAAAUUGUGGUUGUUGACUUUGGAGGGCUGUCGCUUCCUUGGCUAAACCAAAGAAGAGUUGAAAUUUACAAAUUACGUAAAAGUUUUAGGGUAAAACGAAUAAUGUUAUGUCAGUGUUCGAACUCAAGUGAGGGGUGUCAAAUAUGGCCAAAUCUAACCAAAUAAGCUAUAAAAUAUCAAGUUACACAUAACAAAACUACUAAUAUAUAAAUUUAUAGGGUGUCAUAUGAACCCCUGUUCAUCAACGUAGGUCCGCCUGCCUGAGGUAAGAUUUUUGCAAGCUUACUGGGUUUCAUGGUUUAUGCCAAUUGUGGUUCUCACAUUCGUUUGGGGAAUCGCCAAAAUCAAUGUAACAAAACAAAACAGGACAAACGUAGAGAAAGUAAAACGUUUUGAAAUUUUUUUUUAGUUGAUCAAAUUUGCCUUUUUGUUUUGUUUUAGUAACCAUAUUCUUGUGACUUUAUCUUUAUGGUGAUUUUAUUUUAUUUUACAUGCGGUCCUUUUUAACGUUUCACGGCAUGGUUUACUUUAUUUUUAUGUUUUCUUACUACCAAUACGUUUUGGUCUUUGAUUAAAACUGUUGUUUCUGGUUUUUGGUUACGAAAAUCUCUCGAGAAGAGACAAUAGAGCAUUUACUUUCGGCGGCUUUAAACUAAUACCGCUAGCAUUUCUAUUUAUAGAUUUUAUAUUUUAAGCAUAAGUAAUACUCCAUCCGUUUCACAAAAAGUGUCGUUCUGACAUUUUUCACACAAAUUAAGAAAUAAAAUAAAAAGUCUCUUAUACUCUUAUUAAUUUGCAGAAAAUGACUCUUAGAAUUAUAUUUAUAAUUAAUUUUCUGAAUUUAUUGAGGUUAAAAAUGGUAUUUUAUGCUAAAAAUUACAUUGAAAUUUUAAAACGACAUUCUUUUUGAAACAAAAAAAAAGUGUCAGAACGACACUCUUUGUGAAACGGAGGGAGUAUAGAACAAAACAGUAAAAAAAAUUGCUAAAAAUAUCAAAUUUUAUUUCAAUAUUUCAAAGUUACUAAAACAAUUUUUAUUGUGUGUUUCAGAUUUUAUUUUUAAGUUUUGUUUGUGGAUAUAUUCGAUCGAAUUUUUUUUUAGUGUACAGAUGUGUGAAAUCAGAAAAAUUGUAGAUAAAACACAAAUCAGAAAAGAAGAGAAGAUUGAUUAUCAAAGGGAUUCGAAAAAAGGCGAAAAAGGCGAGAAGUUAUUGAUUGGAAGGAGGAUACAAAGGCGAUCCAGAGAGAGAUUAAUUGAUCGGACGCUAAGGAAAACAAGAAAGCGGAGAACGUCUGCGAUUGAGAGAUUAUGCUUUACACUUUUUAGACAUUUUAUUAGCACUAUUCAUUUUUUUCUUAUAAUUACUAUAUCUUCUUUUUAUUUUCUACUUCCUCUCUGGUUAAUAUCACAUGUAGCUCA